GACGAGCGCAACCCUCGCUGUGUGUUACAAGUGUCACACAGUACUGCCGAUAUUAAGUCGGAGGAAGGUGGGGAUGACGUCAAGUCAGCAUGACCUUUAUAUCCAGGGCUACACACACGCUACAAUGGCCAGUACAAUGGGUUGCCAAGCCGCGAGGCGGAGCCAAUCCUAAAAAGCUGGCCUCAGUUCAGAUUGCAGUCUGCAACUCGACUGCAUGAAGUUGGAGUUGCUAGUAACCGCAGGUCAGCAAUACUGCGGUGAAUACGUUCCCGGGGAUU
Molecule: ribosomal RNA, 278 nt
Filed under: uncultured Anaerolineaceae bacterium
Lineage: Bacteria; Bacillati; Chloroflexota; Anaerolineae; Anaerolineales; Anaerolineaceae
Description: partial 16S ribosomal RNA
Rfam family: Bacterial small subunit ribosomal RNA
Source: RNAcentral